Molecule: small RNA, 2984 nt
Filed under: Histoplasma capsulatum
Lineage: Eukaryota; Fungi; Ascomycota; Eurotiomycetes; Onygenales; Ajellomycetaceae
Also listed under: 1 other name
Description: hypothetical RNA
Source: RNAcentral
CAGACCCAAGGUGCGCAAGCGGGUGCACGAUGCCUUAGUACAUGUGUUAAGGAAUCCCCCACCAAGCCCGUCGUUGGACCAUCCUGCGGCGGAUAUGUGUGCGGAGACAGCGCUGCAUACGCUGGGCGAGAGUGUCGCCGCCGCGGCGAAGGCGAAAAAGGGCCGACAUGGCCAGCAGCAGACAAGCCAGCAUGAGCCAAUGGUCAUCCAUGCCGUGCACUUGGUGAAGACCAUUGCAACCGCUUCGGGCGGGUGGCCGACAAAGAAGAUCGAGCCGUUGUGCGAGCUGCUGAUGAACGUGUCGAAAUCGUCCAACGAGUACCUGACCAUGGCUGCAUUUGAGGUCUUCGAGAUUAUAUUCGAAGGCAUGGCGGAUGACUUCUCGUCGUCCAAACUACCACGGCUUAUGGAGGCGAUUUCGGAAUUGAAACCCGCACAGAAUGAUUUGCAAUUGCUCCCCCCGUGGAUUGCGGUGCUUUCCAGGGGCUACGACGUAUCAGCGCAGGUGAACCCUGAGGAGACGUUUGAGAAUCUCCCCCAUCUUUUUGACCUCAUCUCGCCCUUCCUUGCGUCGUCGUCUCGGAAUAUUAGGGUGUCGGCCUCUGAGUGUCUCAUCUCAUUUCUAGUCAAUUGCAUUCCGGACUCAAUCAUCCUCGAACCCUCGGUAUAUGAUGAAAAGGUGUUUGAGAAACUGGCCAAAAUAUGCAUUGGACUACUCUCCAUCAAGUACCAGGCUGCAUGGAUGGAGGUAUUCAACGUGCUCGCCGCAAUGUUCGAUGCAUUGAAGUGGAGGGCAUUCCCUGUUCUGACUGAUAUUGUCCGGAUAAUCGGGGAGCUACGGGGGAAUGAAUCGUUCGCCAGCAAGAAACAAGCUGACCAAGUUCUCGGGUCUGCAAUUGCGGCCAUGGGUCCAGAGGCAGUAUUGGAGAUAUUACCGCUGAAUAUCGCACAUCAAACCGCCGGCCAACCAGGCCGAGUCUGGCUUCUGCCCAUCCUCAGGGACCAUGUGUCAAACACGCGCCUGUCAUUUUUCCGAUCGGAAUUCGUGCCACUCAGCGAGGCGCUGUUCCAGCGCGUUCUCGAAUACGGCAACGCGGAGAAAACGGUCGAAGUGAAAAUCUUCGAGACCCUCGUCCAGCAGACUUGGGCGAUUUUGCCAGGAUUCUGCGAACUGCCACUAGAUCUUACAGAGUCCUUUGAUCAAAGCUUUGCCGAGUUGCUUUCAAAUGUACUGUACAAGCAAACAGAGCUACGUGUGGAUGUGUGCAAAGCGUUACAGAAUCUUGUAGAAUCAAACCAAGCGAUUACCUCGUUGGAUACCGAGCGGGACGACCUGAUCCUUCAGCGACGGAUUGCGAAGGCAGAUGCGAAGAAAAAUAUAGCCCAUCUCGCUAGCUUUUCUAGUAAUAUCCUGGCUGUGCUGUUCAAUGUCUACAGUCAGACACUUCCUCAGUUCAGGGGUUUCCUGCUUCGAUGCAUCAAUGCAUAUUUGAGCAUUACAGGUGAACAGGAACUAAUUGAAACCUUCACACGCGUCACUACGAUGCUCGAGGGCACCCUUACCGAACCGGAACCUGCAGAGCAGAAGCAACCGAAAGGGCCCGGCGACAAAAUGCCCCCAACCUCUCACACUCUAAUGGAUCUCGUGGUCACGAUAUCGAUAUAUCUGCCACGAUCAAGUUUCGCCACUCUCUUCUCGCUUGCGGCUGCCGUUCUCCAGAAAAAGUCCUCGGACACCCAGUUAAUCAAGAAAGCAUACAAGCUCAUUCCGCGCCUCGCCACGACCGAGAACGGCGCCGCGUCACUCCGCGAGCGUAGCUCUGAACUGCAAUCUCUCAUCCUCGCAACAGCAGACCAAACACCCGCUCCGGCCCGCCGUGACCGGCUGCUCGCGAUCCAUGAAAUAGUCAGCUACCUCCCAACCUCAGAUCUACAUUUCAUCCCCUCAGUGCUGCCCGAAGUGGUGCUAGGAUGCAAGGAGAGUAACGAAAAGGCGCGUACGGCCGCAUUCUCCUUGCUCAUCCACCUCGCCCAGCGCACCAUAGACCCGGACCUCAACCCGGUUGGCACAGUGAUCCGCAACUCGCUCGUGCCACACAUGCCAGAUACAGCCCCAGACGCCCCUGCCACGAUCGAAGAGUUCUUCACCAUGGUCUCCGCCGGUCUCGCAGGUAGUUCCCCACACAUGGUCGCCGCCUCAGUAACUGCAUUGUCCAGGCUCCUCUUCGAAUUCCACUCGAAGCUACCCCCAGCUAUGCUGUCCGAUCUCGUGCAAACCAUCGAUAUCUUCCUGACAAGCAACAAUCGCGAGAUCGUCCGGAGUGUGCUGGGUUUUGUCAAAGUUGCUGUCGUCGCCUUACCGGAAGACAUGCUCCGGCCACGUCUCGACUCGCUCGUCCCUAACCUCCUGGUCUGGAGCAAGGAGCACAAGGGCCGCCUGAAGAGUAAAGUAAAGGGAAUCCUGGAGCGGCUAAUCCGGCGCUUCGGCUCGCCGCUCCUCGAAGGAUUAGUCGGCGAAGCCGAUCGGAAAUUCGUCGUCGCGAUCCGCAAAGAGCGCGAGCGGCGCAAGCGCAAGAAGACGCAGGCCAAGGGAGGCGAGGGCGGGGACGGAGAAGGAGAAGGAGACGAGCGAGGUGGAGACGCCGGCAGCGCGCGGAAAGGCGCAACGACGACACCCGGCCACCGCGACCACCAACCACCGCGAGGCGGCGAGAAGUCUUUCAGCAACGAAUUCGACAAAGCGGUCUACGGCUCCGACAUGUCGGAGUCGGACUCGGCCUUCGCGACGACGGACUCCGACGACGCGAGCGAAAUUGACGUCGACGAGCAGGGCAACAUGCACGUCUCAUCCCAUAAAUCCAGCGCUACUAGCCGCAAACAGCAGCAGCAGCAACGAGGCGGGGGAGGACGACAGAAACCCAGCCGACCAGGCCCACAAUCUCAAACGCAGUACAUCCGCGAGCUCUCGCCGGAAUCAAACCCGC